Molecule: ribosomal RNA, 710 nt
Filed under: Leifsonia sp. 7PE5.1
Lineage: Bacteria; Bacillati; Actinomycetota; Actinomycetes; Micrococcales; Microbacteriaceae
Description: bacterial SSU rRNA
Rfam family: Bacterial small subunit ribosomal RNA
Source: RNAcentral
CUAAUACCGGAUACGAGCUUCAGCCGCAUGGCUAGGAGUUGGAAAGAAUUUCGGUUUGGGAUGGACUCGCGGCCUAUCAGCUAGUUGGUGAGGUAAUGGCUCACCAAGGCGACGACGGGUAGCCGGCCUGAGAGGGUGACCGGCCACACUGGGACUGANACACGGCCCANACUCCUACGGGAGGCAGCAGUGGGGAAUAUUGCACAAUGGGCGCAAGCCUGAUGCAGCAACGCCGCGUGAGGGACGACGGCCUUCGGGUUGUAAACCUCUUUUAGUAGGGAAGAAGCGAAAGUGACGGUACCUGCANAAAAAGCACCGGCUAACUACGUGCCAGCAGCCGCGGUAAUACGUAGGGUGCAAGCGUUGUCCGGAAUUAUUGGGCGUAAAGAGCUCGUAGGCGGUUUGUCGCGUCUGCUGUGAAAACCCGAGGCUCAACCUCGGGCCUGCAGUGGGUACGGGCAGACUAGAGUGCGGUAGGGGAGAUUGGAAUUCCUGGUGUAGCGGUGGAAUGCGCAGAUAUCAGGAGGAACACCAAUGGCGAAGGCNGAUCUCUGGGCCGUAACUGACGCUGAGGAGCGAAAGCNUGGGGAGCGAACAGGAUUAGAUACCCUGGUAGUCCAUGCCNNAAACGUUGGGAACUANAUGUGGGGGACCAUUCCACGGUCUCCGUGUCNCAGCUAANNCAUUAANUUCCCCCGCCUGGGGGAGUA